CAAUACCCUUCUCAAUCUCUUUCUCAUCAAGAGUGGAAGAAACUUUUAUUAUAGCAUCCAACCACUAGUGUCACAAAUUAAGGUAACAUAAUUAUUAAAAUCAUAAAUAUUAAAACUAUUUUAUAUAUGUAUUUGUAUGCAUGUAUAUCCUCUAAAAGAAAUAGGGUUAAAUAAGUAAAUGGUUCCUAAAUACAUAAAAAUUUGAUUUUAGUCCCCUUAAAACAUUAUUUAGGUUUUUGGUUCCUAAAAAAAAUUUCAUCCGUGAAAUUAGUCUCAAUGUAGAGCAGAGACCAAUUUAAUGGAUAAAAAGUUUUAGAGGGACCAAAAAUCUAAGAAAUAUUUUAGAGGGACUAAAAUCAAAUGUUGAUAUAUUUAGGGAAACUAUUUACAUAUUUAACAAAAAAAAAAAAAAACAUCGAUAAGUUGACCACCUCAUGUAGCAUACACCCUUCGGUCACUAUUAUAAGCAAAAUUUUGCAUUUUAGAUUCAUUCAUUAAAUGAUGUAUGUAGUCUAUAAUAAAGACCAGAUACAUCAUUAAUUGAAUGAAUCUAAAAUGCAAAAUUUUACUUAUAAUAGUGACCGGAGGGUGUACACAUCUUAUACCUCCACACACACUUGUACCUCCACACACAAAUAUAACAAGUAGCGACGUGGUUCCCACACACUUACCAACUUUGUCUCUCAUUCUCUCUUCUCCCUGGUGCCACAUAAGAGUGUACAAGGAUGGUAAAAAAAGGUGUCAACUUAUAAUUAAAAAAAAAAUAGAAAGGCUAACAAGGGCACUUGUUAAGAAGUUUAAAGAGAAAAUUUUAUCUUGGGAAUGAUGUAUUCAAUACAUUAAAAAUUUAAAAAGUAAUUUUUUCUACCUAAAAUUUAUAAAUUACUUCUAUUUUUGAAUCUUUAACUAUUACCCUGAGACUUUUAACAAGACUCAUAAAAAAUAUGUGUAUAUGUGUGUGAAGUUGGAUUAGAGUUACAUAAACAAAAUGAGAGAGAGAGAGAGAUAAUUACUUUAUCAUCUAUGAACUUGGACCAGAAACGUGCCAAGGCUCUUUUAGAAGGAUCAGAAGGCAAGAUAGGAUUUUGUUUCCAAGUCUCAUCAAUAUAUUCAAUAAUCACAAGAGAUUCUGCUAUAGGCUUAUCAUUAUGAACUAAUACAGGAACCUUCUUAUAAACAGGGUUGUAAUUGAUGAGUGUAUCACUCAAGUUCUGAAACUUUUCUACCUCAUAUUUGUAUUCAACUCCUUUCAGUUUUAGAGCAAUCUCCACCCUGCACACAAAUGGACUUGCCUUCAUUCCAAAAAGCUUCACCUCUUCCUUGUUUGAUGCCAUCGUAGUGCUCCAGUUACUCAUUGAUUGAUUCUAAGAUCUACUUUUUUAUAUAGAGCCUGGGGUAUUAAUUUUCAAUUAAUAUUCUAAGAUAUGGAAUUUUUAUAUAACAAAAAGUGGAAGUCAACUAGGAAAACUAUAUUCCAGUAAAAAAAAUAUUGAACCGUAUUCUAUUAAGCAAACUGAUCAUUCGAUACACACGUGUCGGGAGUUGAGACAUCAUAAAUGGACGGAGCUUUAAUAGAUUUUUGGGUUCGAAUUAAAUAUUGGAUAUACGAUAGCUUUAAAACUUUUAUAGAGAGUUUAUUGUCCAUUUAAAUUUUAUAAGACUUGAUAUUUACAAACAAAAAUUGGUCUUUUUUAGAAAUCAUACUAUUGAGCUACUAUUUAUAUCUACUUGUUUCGUAAAAAAAAUCUUGCGUGAUGUUAGCAUUAUUCAUCGAUGAAUUGAAACAUUACUUACAAUUUACGUAAUGUGGGUUACUAUUAAUUUGUUAGUACUUGAUUUGAGUUUUUUUUUUUUUUUUGAAAAAUAGUUUAUAAUUAAGGACAGAUAUAAAUUUAAGGUUGUUAUAUUUAAAAAUAAUUCUUGUAAUAAAAGAUACUUAUAUUUAGAAUCAGUGGUAAUAUUUUCCUAUUAAAUUUUUUUUGACUACGUGAAGUCGUGAAUGCCCAAAAUAGUGAUGUAAGGGAUUACGUAACCACAAGUGCUCAGAAAGUUUUGGGCAAAGACCAAGAGCAUAUUUAAUCGGGCGUCUCUCUUAUCUAAUAGAGACUUCAUUUUAUUUUGAACUCUAUUAGAGAAAGAAAAAAAAAAAAAAGACACAUAUCAGUUAUCAUCAUUCAUAAGUUAUCAUCAUAUUAUAAUAAAUUAUGUAUGUGUGAUCCAUUUAAGGUCUCUUUUUUAGUUUCCUACCACUGUAGAUGUUCUAAGGGUCUCAUUUGAUAAACACUUUGAUUAAGCUUUAAUACAAUAAAAGUAUAUCUAUGUUUAUUGCUUUUUAUAUAAGUGUUUUUUUAUUUUUUUUCUAUAUAUUAAUACAAUAAAAGUUUAUCAUAUACAUCUCCGUGGGUAUAACUCAGUUGGCAGAGACAUGCAUUGUUAUAUGCAGGGGUCGGGAUUCGAACCUCGGACACCCCACUUAUUCUCUUUAAAAAAGGUUAAUUCUAUACACUAAAGGUGAAUUGUGUUUUCUUUUUCAAAACAUUUCUAAAUGUUUGGUAAAACAGUUCAGAGGGUAGUCUAGUCAUCACGAACUUUCAAGAAAUUUUCAUUAUAAUCACUAAGAUUACAAAAUGCUUAAACACACAAGCAAUAUACUUCCUUUGCUCAAUCACACAAGAAAGAGAUUUUCAAUGCUCAAGGACACAAGCAAAAAACUUAUAUAAACUAACUUAAUCAAAUAAAAUAUUGUUUGGGUUCACACUUGAUAUACAAUAAAAGGUGUAAUACAAUAAAAUUUAGAUAAACUGCGAGACAUAAGAAUUUCUAAAUUAUUAAAGUUCAUAAGAAAUUCUCUAGUGUUUUCUUUUUCAAAACUUUCUUCUAAAUGUUUGGUAAAAUAGUUCUGAGUUUGAAGCAAAAACACAAGACAAUUUAUAUAUACUAGUUGCUCUCACAAACCGAGAGUAGUAUAAUCCUCAUGCAUUUUUAAGAGAUUUUCACUAUAAUUACUAAGAUUACAAAAUGCUCAAGCACAAAAGCAAUAUCCUUCCUUUGCUCAAUCACACAAGAAAUAGACUUUCAAUGCUCAAACACACAAGUAAAAAACUUAUAUAAUCUAACUUAAUCAAAUAAAAGAUUGUUUGGUUUUACAUUUGAUAUACAAUCAGAAUGUAAUACAAUAAAGUAACUCUGUCUUGCAUAUAUUAUGUAUUAUCUCUUACCAAAUGAAUUAAGUUCAUGCGGACGUCGAACAUGUAACUUUAUGUAUAAUAAUUGUUAAAUAGUAUAAGAGAGGUGUGGGUUGAUUGGGGUGAAGACUUAAAAAGGAGUUAAAUCCGUUAGAUUGGUAACGAGUUGAAUCUACAACCCAUUCUCUCCAACCUUGUAUUUCUUCACCAAACCAAAAUAUUGCAUUUUUUGUAUAAAUUUUUUUUUGUUCUAUCUGAAGUUGCACGAAGAAGCUCUUACCACUAAGCUAGUUGCAUGGUUUUAGUUUCUUGUGAAAUUAUAAUUAUUAUUUUUUAUAACUUCAAAUGUUAUGGAACUCGGUUACAAUUUUAUACACUUUGAAUGAAAAGUAUUUAGGUAUAUGAUUUGUUGUCACGUCAUUUUAUGAAUAUGAUAAAUUAUAUAUAAGUUUUAAUUUCAUUAAAUGAUAUUUUCAUACAUCACUGUACAUUUUAUUAUACUAAUAACAUAUACAAAUUAAAAUGAUUUUGUUAUAAAGUCGUAUGUCAUUUUCUCUGAAAUAAGGAUUUAUAACUACAAUAGGAUUAACAAGAACAACAAAAUCCUAGAAUUUCUUAACCAAGAAGAAAUCCUAGGUUGCAUAUAUCUAGUAUGACAUCAAAAUUUAAACAGAAACUAAAAUGACAAACAAGUAGUUUAGACAUUUUCCUUAAAUUUCACAAGUACAUAUCACCUUAAAUUGACCUAUUUUGAACCAAAAUGUUCUUCAUAACGACCUUUGUAGAAAGCCAAAAGGGUCUCUCUAGGAGGCAAUUUUUCCUUAACAAUUGGGUGAUUGUUGAAUUCUUGGCUCCAAUUGUAAAGCUUUGGAAAUUCCUCAAUAGUGAACAAUUUCAGUCCAAAUGCUUCUUGUAUAGGAGAGAACCAAAAAGAUAUGACCACAGCAGCAAUGUCAACAAAACCAAUAUCCUCCCCACCAAAGAAUUUGUCCUUGAGCUCAUUCUCAAGAAAAUGAAGAGCCUCUUUUGUUUCCUCAAUACUCUUCUCACGUUCUUUCUCAUCAAGAGGGAAACAAACUUUCCGUGCACCAUUGGAGCACUAGUCUCACAAAUUAAGGUCAUUAUUAGAAGUAAGAAAAAACAAAUGUUAGGCACACUGAGUUAGUAGUAUAAGUUAAUUUUUUUUCUUUGUCAAAUAUCACACAUGGUCUUUUAAGUUAGAUGUUUAUAACAAGUUAAUCUUUUAAUUUUCUUUUGUUAUUAAUUAGUUCUUUAAGUCGAAAAAUAUCAGCACUAUGAUUUUAUUUUCAUCAAACUCAGUUAAAAUGUGUUUUUGUGCACGUUUAAUAUUUAGUUGGUAUGUAUAAAUAAAUAAAAUAUUCCUUUAAGCAAUCAAAAUUAUUAUGCUAAAAAACAAACAAUUGAGUUCAAGUGAGUAAUGAAUUCCACCAAAUGAUAAAUUUUUCGUAAGAAUCUGAGAUUGAUUUCUAAUAAAACUAUUCUUUAUUAGACUGUAUUUUACUUAUCUUUUGGGUGACCUGAGGAUUAUGAGGAUCCUUUUCCCUUGAUAAUUGAAUGGUUAACACCCAAAAUAAAAUUAUUUUGUUAAUCAAAGUUAAUCAAAUGAACCUAAGAUCUCAAUCUUUCUUUGUUGAACGACAUGGGCAUAAGAGCAUUCACAAUGGAGACACUCAUUUUUUGGUACUUAAAUGAGUUCCACGUGUACAUAUCACCCGUUUUUAAUUUUUUAAUAAUAGUACCUAAUAAGUACUCAAAUACUCAAUCCCUCCAACCCAGCAUCUCACAAAAAUUUCUUAAAUGAAAUUCAAUAAUCAACUAUUACCUUCGACCCUAAAUAUAUGAGCCUUUUGCCAAAAUUGCGGGGAUUAACAAAGUUGGUUGUAGUAUUAAAUUUGUAUAUAAUUACUAUUGUUUUUACAAUUUUAUCCUUAAGAGAGAGAGUAAAUUUAUGUUUUCAAUAUAAUAUUUAUUGUUGAUUGAAGAAAAAAUGCAAAAUAAAUAUGGGUGUGUUGGUAAAGAAAUAAUUAAUGUACUUGGAAACACCAAAAGGAUCUUAUAAAAAGGGACAAAUUAUUUUUCAAAAGGAUCUUAUAAUUAGGACGGAGGUAGUAUCAAUUACUUUAUAUCAUUACAUUUCAAUUUUUUAAUAUUGAAAGAGUGUGAAUCCUGCUUAAGAUUGAGGUCUUAAGUAAGACCCCGAAAAAAAAUUCUCCGAUGGAAUACCUAAUAGGUACCAAAUUUUAAAUGUUGAAAACCUCCUUUAGAGAUGGUCUAAGGACACACAUAAGAUCUCUAAUUUACUUGGUCAACUAUUUAGUGCUAACUAAAGUUGGAUAUAUGAACUUGGACUUGAGUUACACAGAAAAAUAGAAGAGGGGAGUAAUUACCUUAUCAUCAAUGAAAUUGGACCAGAAACGAGCCAAGGCUCUUUUGGAAGGAUCAGAAGGCAAUAUGGGAUUUUGUUUCCAAGUCUCAUCAAUAUAUUCAAGAAUCACAAGGGACUCUGAUAUGGGCUUAUCAUUAUGAAUAAAAACAGGAACUUUCUUAUAAACAGGGUUGUAUUUUUUGAGUGUCUCACUCAAGUUCCCAACCUUUUCUUGCUCAUAUUUGUAUUCAACUCCCUUAAGUUUUAGAGCAAUCUCCACCCUUGUUACAAAUGGACUUUCAACCAAUCCAAAAACCUUCACCUCUUCCUUAUUUGAUGCCAUCGUAGGGCUUGAUCAAUUCUGUACUCAAACAACUGGUUUGGUCAUUGAUUGAUUCCUAGGAUUUACUUUUAUAUAUAGAGCAAGGAUUAUUUUUCAACAAAAACGGUAGUCAACUAUAGAAAACUAGUAAAAAGUAAACUAGAAAACUAUAAUAAAUUCAGAAAUAAUUAAUUAUUCGAUACACAUGUAUAGACACUGUACCCCUUAAAAAAUGUAUAGACACUAUGUACGAGGGUGAAGCUGAACCGAACCAAACUGAAUUGUUUGCUAAAUUUAAAAUAAUUGAACUGAACUGUUUACAUUUCGAAUUGAACUGAACUGUUUCAAACCGAACUGAAUUGUUCCGAACUGAAUCGAACUGUUUAUAAUCGAACUGAAUUGUUUUGAACCGAACUGAAUUAUUUCAGAACUGUCAGUAAUAGUUCAGUUUUUGUUUAGUUUAGUUCAGUUCGGUUUUUUUAUUUUUUUUGCCUACCCCUAAUUGUGUAUCGACCCUUUAUGUCAAAUUUUUUUUACAUAAAAAUGCUAAUAAGUGUUCUUGAUGCAUUGUUUAAGCAACAAAAAAUAAUAUUUUUUGUAUAAAAAUUUAUAUAAUUAUUACUUUUAAAUGUGUUUGACUUAUAAUUUUAAGAUAAAAUUUCUUAUAAUAGAUUCCUUGAACAAUACUCUUAAAACACUUGUUAACAUAAUCUUUUUUAUAAACAAAUAUUAGUUUUGUGGAAAUCAAAUACUUGAAAAAAGGAUUAAAAAAAUUAUAUCUACGUAAAUGUCCAAAAAGUGAUGUAAGGGAUUACAUUCCUAUAAGCAAUGAGUUUCGAGAAACUUUAGGCAAACACAAGCUAAAGAGUUUUUCAAAUCUGCUUACACAGAACUAAUUUUGAUGAAAGCACUAAUCCUUUUACAUACAAAAAUUAAAUAAUCUCAAUGAAUAAAAGACUUAUAUUAGUAAAACCAAACAAAUAAAUAAAUGUUUAUCAUAUAACCCUAAUAAAUAGGUGUUUAGUUACUCAUGAUAACAAAAGACAUGAUACAAAAGAAAUAAAACAUACUUUAAAUACAUAGGUUGAGGAGAGAGACUACUCUUGAUGUUCUUAAUGGUUGCCUUUCUCUUGAAUAACCAAGUUUUGAUUGAGAAUUCGUGAAUAAGAGCUCUUGUUUUUAUAUGCAUAUAUUAUGAAUUGGGUUAAAAAACUGGUUUUUUUUCUUUCUUCCCAAACACGCAGAGAAAAAAUAGCAUAUAACUAUUUUGUCAGGGACCAAGGUGUGCGCCGCGCGUUGGGGCACAUGUCUAGCAUGUGGUAGCUGAUAACGAGCUUUUUUCUCUUAGUUCCAUGCGCCUGGGGUGUGUGGCCUCGAUGGCCACUAUUCCGUUUUUGUGUUUUUCUUCGUCUUUUCGAGUGUUUUUCUUUCUCCGAUUUGGUUUUAAGGUUUGAGACAUAAUUUCUCCAACUUGUAAUGUAUUCAUAGUUUCUAGAAUUUCAUUCCAUGUCUUCCAAAACCUUCACGAGGUAUCUUGUUUGCCGAAUUACAUGAUUUUUCACUAAAAGACUCAAAACACUUAUGAAAUUGUUUGAUUUAUGGAGGAAACAAAAUUACAUGACUUGAUUUGAUAACAUUUCAAAAUGUCCCUUAAACCAUGAGCAACUUCUCUAAAAAUCCUCUUUUUUGACUCAAGUAACUAUUAAAAUAACUAAAAAACAUGCUGAAAAUAACGUAAGAUAACAUGUCAUCAUCUCUCAUGCAAAUGGAUAUCAAUAAUGCAUUUCUCAAUGACAUUCUCAAUUGAGAAGUCUAUAUGUAUCAACCAGUCGGUGUAAUAUAUCAACAAGUCAUUGAACCACACAUCGUUGAUCUUGUUGGUAACCAUUCUUUCUCACAAACUUAUAAGAUUAUUUUACUAGCUUAUUGACAGAGCUUGACAACGGGGGGACUUCUAACUUUUGUUGAUAAUUUUAUGAAUUAUUUAUUUUUUAAAUUUAUAGUAGAAUAUAAAAUAUAAAAAAUAAAAUAAAACAAUGAUAAGUUUUAGUGAUAGCCGCAGCCGUAGGUAGAUAUCCUUAAUGUUUUAAAAUGGUAACCUUAGAAUUAUACUCUACGGUUUUGUCCGUAGGUAAAGGUGGAAAACAUGCGGUGACAGCCAUUUGACAAUGACAAACAGGCACAUUUUCGUUGUUAGUUGUUGAGAAUAAUGCACAGACAAUAUCCUCGAGACAUUUGGCUAAGGAAAUUAACACUAUAAUGAUGAAUUUCAAAUCUCAUUAUACAGGUCAACUUUUUUUUAUAGUGAUACAAAGAAAGUAUGGUUGAACCCGGAUAUGUGCCCGACUUGCUUGGGGGUAAAACCGCCCCUAACCAAUAAUAUGCAAGCAUUGAAGCGUGUUAUGUGCUAUUUGAAACAUAUUAUCUCACAUGGAUCACAUAGUAUCUUUCAUUUUUAGUCUCUCAAUACAAUAUCAUUUUUAGUCUCUCAAUACAUAUCAUAUUUGGAAGACCAUUGCUUGAAAAGCAAAAGAUAACAUAUAUUUUCCUUCCCCGUUAAAAAAUUAUUUUUACAGACAAAAAAAUAGUAGUCUAUCACUCGUGGAUUUCAUGGAAUAAGAAUUUGUAACUAAAAUAGUAAACCUGAACAACAAAACCCUAGAAUUUUUUAACCAUGGAGAUAUCUAGGUUGCAUUAUAUCUAGUAUGACAUCAAAAUUCAAACAGAAACUAAAAUGACAAACAAGUAGUUUUGACAUUUUUCCUUAAAUAUCACAAGUACAUAUCACCUUAAAUUGAUCUAUUUUGAACCAAAAUGUUCUUCAUAACGACCUUUGUAGAAUGUCAAAAGGAUCUCUCUAGGAGGCAAUUUUUCAUUAACAAUUGGAUGGUUGUUGAAUUCUUGGCUCCAAUUAUAAAGCUUGGGAAAUUCCUCACUAGUGAACAAUUUCAGUCCAAAUGCUUCUUCUAUAGGAGAGAUCCAAAAAGAUAUGAUCACAGCAGCAAUGUCAACAAAACCAAUAUCCUCUCCACCAAAGAAUUUGUCUUUGAGCUCAUUCUCAAGAAAUCGAAGAGCCUCUUUUGUUUCCUCAAUACUCUUCUCACGUUCUUUCUCAUCAAAAGUGAAACAAGCUUUCCGUACAUCAUUCAUACACUGGUCCCACAAAUUAAGGCAAUUAUUAAAUUAUCCAUGUUAACAGUGGAAGAAAAAAAUGCUAACUUCUGCUUUGUGAUAUAAGUUUAGAAGUUAAAUGUAAAAGUUUUUUUUAUUAGAAAUUGUGCGUUCAAUAUUUUAAAAGUUUUAAAAUUAUAUUUUUCAUAUAAAAUUUAAUUUUAAAUUCUAUUUUAAGUUUAUUAACUUGUGCCCCAAAAACACAAGUUAGCAUGACCAAAAAAUUUAUACGCACAUAGUAGUAUAAGUUAAUUAAUUUAUUUUGGGUUAAUAGGCUUUUACCCCCUGCAAUAUAGGUCACUUUUGAUUUUUCCCCUGUAAAAUUUUUUUGUCAGAUUUCGUCCUUGUAAAAAUUUUUUGUUUUGAAAAACCCCCAUAGGCCAGCUGACUGUGCAUUUUCGCUGAUGUGGCACGCUGACUGUAUAAUUUUUAUUAUUUUAUUGUGUACAGGUGGCAUUUGUGAUUUUUUUUUAAAAAAAUAAUUAAAAAUAACACUUUUUAUAAAUAUUUCUUAUAAAAAAUAAUAAGAUUUUUAGAAUUUCUAAAUAAUUUUUCUUAUUAUAAAAAUAACACUUUUUAUAAAAAUUUCGAAAUUUUUACAAAAAAAAUUCAAAUUUUUCAUUUUAUGAGAUUUUUUUUAUUUUUCUAGUAUUUUAUCAGAUUUUUUUUCAUUAUUUUUAUAAAUUUUUCUAGAUUUUUUUUUCGUUUUUUUUAUUUUAAAUUUUUUUUCCUGAAUUUUUGUAUUUUUUUUAAAAAAAAAAUCACACAUGCCACGUGUAUACAAUAAAAAAUAUACAGUCAGCGCGCCACAUCAUCAGAAAAUGGUGACUCAGCGUGCCACAUCAGCGAAAAUGCACAGUUAGCUAACCUAGGGGGGGUUUUCCAAAACAAAAAAAAUUUACAAGGACGGAAUUUGACAAAAAAAUUUCACAGGGGAAAACCAAAAGUGACCUAUAUUAUCGGGGGUAAAGGUCUAUUAACCCAUUUGUUUUUGUAUAGGAAGUCUUCUAUGGUAACUAUCAAUCUUGUUCAUUUGCUCAAAAAUAAAAAUAAAAACUAUCUUUGUUCAUAAAUAGAAAAGAAGUUUAGUAGAAGGAUAAUUAUUAAAUUUUCAAGUAUAUAAGUCACAGUGUAUUCAAAGUUAACUUUCACUACUUAAAUCAUGUUUUCUUUUGGCGUAAACUCUCGCUAAGAUUUUUAAUGAUGCUACAUGUCUAAAAUUGAAUUUGAACCCAAGACCUUAAUUAUAAUAGGAGAGACCUGAAUUAUCCCAUCUUGGGGUGUACAUGUGUUGGAUCAACCAAAAAUAUCUGGUCAAACACACACAAAAACUCAAAAAAGUGGGUUGAGUUGGAUAAUUGGGUGAAUAUGAUUUCCAAAAUUGACACAAGACAUUCUUUAUAUCGAAAAUCAAAACAUGCUAAAGUUAAAAAUUAGGAUAUUGUACUUUUUGGUUAUUUUGAUGUUAAUACAAUUUUAUCUCAUGUAAUUUUAGUUUGUUCUAAGUAUUUUAUCAUCAAAUCUUAUUUGAUUUGUGAUUUAUUAUUUUAUGAUGUUAAAAUAUAGCGAAAAUAAGCUACACAAUCUUUUUCAGAAAAUAAAAAAGUUGAGUAAUUUUUAUGAAAAAAUAUGAGCUCAUCAUUUAGUUAGUUAAAAUUAACAAUAAUUUUUUUGGGUAACCCGCUACCCAACGCAACUCAAACUGAAAAUUAGUGGGUUUAGUAAACCGGUCCAAUAAUGUAACAGCUGAUUAUUUUACCACACCUAAACCGGAGUACCAUAUACGAUUUUGAUCUUUGAUUUGAUCAAACUCAACCUAAACCGACCCAACCCCUAUCUAAGCGCUCUUAAAUACUAAUUAAAUUAUGUUAUUUGUUACUCCUAACAAACAUAAUUAAUGCUCCCCUAAAAAAAAACAUAUUUAAUGCUAACUAAAGUUGGAUAUAUGAACUUGAACCAGAGGUACACAAAGAAAAAUAGAAGAGGGGAGUAAUUACCUUGUCAUCAAUGAAAUUGGACCAGAAACGAGCCAUGGCUCUUUGAUAAGGAUCAGAAGGCAAGAUAGGGUUUUGUUUCCAAGUCUCAUCAAUAUACUCAAGAAUCACAAGUGAUUCAGAGAUGGGCUUGUCAUUAUAAACUAAAACAGGAACUUUCUUAUAAACAGGGUUGUAAUUUUUGAGUGUAUCACUCAAGUUCCCAAACUUUUCGUUCUCACAUUUGUAUUCAACUCCCUUCAACUUUAGAGCUAUUUCCACCCUGGUUGAAAAUGGACUUCCCACCAUUCCAAAAACCUUCACCUCUUCCUUAUUUGAUGCCAUCGUAGAGCUUGAUCAAUUAUGUACUCAAACAACUGUUUUUGGAUUGUUGAUCGACUCCUAGGAUUUACUUUUAUACAUAGAGCAAGGAUUAUUCUGUUUGACUAUUAGGAGCAAGGAUCAUUUUUCAACAAAAAACGGUAUUCAACUAGCUAGGAAAACUAGUAAAAAAAUACUAGAAAACUAUAAUCAAAUUAAGUCAUCGAAUUUGUAGUUUUAUAAUCCAACGCCACGUAAACGGUUUAUGAAGUGAAAAAUGUCUUACUAAUAAACACUUAAUAUCACUUUUAAAGCUCAUUUGUUAUAGUUUUUUUAAAAAAAAAUAUAUUUUAUUUUAUAAAAAUAAUCACUUUUAAGAGUGUUGCAUCGUAGACGUAAGUACUUUGUCAUUUUAUUCUAUUAACAUGGAUGCUGAGUUUGUUCACAGAUUCAACCUUUUUGAUUUUAGCGAAUUUAGAUUUGUAUUGUAUCGAUAUACUCUCUCAAUUUGAAUGAAUGAAUAUCGUUUAUUUUUGUCAAAAAAAGAGUGUUGCAUCAUUUGUUACAGUUUUAAAAAAAAAAAUCAGAAUAUAAAAAAAUAAUCUAAAAACAGCUUCAAAUGAGAAGUUGUUAAGAUCAACUUCUCAAAAAAAAAAAAAAAAAGAUUUUUUUAGAGGAAAGAGAAAAUAUGGUUUAAAAAAUCUAAUUAAUUUUGUAACGAAAAAUCCCUUUUAUAUAGUUGUAUCCAACUAAACUAAAUUAUUUGUUUAAAAAAGGUGAUUUUUAUUGCGGUAAACAAACACUGAAUAGAUUAUAAUUAUUCAUAAAAUCUCUAAAAUAUAAUCUAUAAAUUAUUUUAUGUCAAAAUAACUUUUAUUUUAAUCUGUAAGAAACGAACCCUUAAUUUGUGGCUCUUAACACAUACUUUCACAUCCAGGCGUGGCGAACCAUAAAAAGAUGUUCGGGUGGGCUGCCACAAUAAACUAUAAUACUUACUGGUGGGAUGGGUCAUGGCCCACCCAUGCAAAGGGGCUCCACCAUUGCAUUUAGGAUUGAACAUCUGGAUCACGAUUUGAGUGAUACGACAUUGGAAACAUGAUAGCAGAUGAUCCGACGAAUCUUGAAAUAAACUUUGAUAUCAUUUUGAAUGGAUAUUCAUGGAUAAAAUAAACAGGUUUUUUAACUACCCGCUAAUUAAUGGAUACGGAUGCGGAUUUAAUGGUAUCCACACCCGCGGAUAUCCAUACUUGCUAUUAAACCGAGUAAAUUACAUAAAUAACCUCAAUAUCAUUCAACUUCCUAAGAAAACACGAUACGUAUUGUGAGUGUUAUAAGUUAUUACGCUCCUUUAAAAGGAAUUGAAAGUGGUUGGGAUUGUUGAAGCAAAAGAUUUGUUUAUGUUGAAUAUGAUGAACUUUACUUAUGUUUUUGUUAAAUCAAAGAAUUUUAUUUUUAUUAAAUGUAAGGGACUUUUUUUAUGUUUUUGUUGAGUCAAUGAUCUUUGUUGUUAUUGUAAUGUAUGAACAUGAUGUUUUGCUAAAAAGAAAAGUAAAUGCAUGUGAAGAACCUUUGUUUAUGAAUUUUAGCUAAAAAAAAAAUUAAACAAUUUUUUAUUUUAUUUUUAUAAAUGUUAUUUAUGGAUAUCUGUAUAAACUCGCGGAUACCUAAAAAUCCGUGGAUUACUCGCUAAAUGGAUAUCCCCACGGAUAUGGAUAGGGUACGGAUUUCAUAUUUAUCUAACGGAGUGGACACGGAUAUCGCACUAUCCGCAUCCAUGGAUAUCCAUUUACAUCCGUAUGCAAUGUUGGUGCAUAUUCUUAGGGAAUAAAACAUGUGUGAAAAUUUUAUGGAUAAAGAAUGAUCACAUGCAAGAUGCUCUGCUCACUAAAACUACCCUCCGUCUGACAUGAAAUCUCUCAUUCUAAGAUAUAAGCUUGGGACUUAAUUUCGACUUUUUUUUUUUUCUUUUUCUUUUUGCCUCGUUGCAUUGAAACACUACUAAAAAAAAGAAUUACCACCUUUUAUAAACAUUUAUUGAUUUCAUAUUAAAAAUUGUAACCCAAAAGAAAAUUUCCUAUUAAAAAAUGUAUGACAACGUGAAUGUCCAACAAGUGAUGUAAGGGAUUACGUAGCUAUAAGCAAUUAAAUUAUCGAGAAUUUUUUGACCAAACAUUAACGUAAGAGUUUUAAUCCUUACACGCAACUAAUUUUGGGGAAUUAGGAAAAACAAUAACUUAUAUAAUGUGAUUUUUUUUAACAAACGAAAAUGGAUUAUAUUAACAACAACAUAAAGAUCUUAGUAGCACAAAGUGUGCUAGGAAAAACCUCAAAAGUUUACGGUCAAAGAAUAGUAACCUAAGGAAACAAAAAUAAGUUAGUCGAUGCCCGUACAAACAAAAGGACUUAACCACCACAUAUGAAAGUUUGAACUAAAAUUGACAUUAUAAGCUUUCCGCCAUAAAAAAAUAAUGUAACUUGACUGUUUCUAGCAGCUGAUGAAUUGUAUUUUCCUUAUUCUUGACAACUUUAAUAUUUUGAUCAUUCCACAAGACCCAAACACAACAUAACCAGAUAAUCUGCAUGAAAGAAUGUCGUGUUCUCGAGCCACUAGAGGAGUCAACAAACUGAACAACAUGAUCCAGAAGAGAGUUCGAAUCGGCCGAUGAGAUGCCCAUCCAAGACCUAACCAAGCUCUAAAGGGGGGUGAAACAAGGACAGGAGAGAAACAAAUGGUGAGCCGUCUCUAAGCCUCCGCACCCAAUCACGCAUAAUUGAGAGUCAUGAGAAAUAAUGUCACGCGUCACCAAAUUAUCUUUAGUUUGUAGUCUGUUCUGAAUAAUGUCACGCGUCACCAAAUUAUCUUUAGUGAGCGAUUUAUAAACACCCUUAACCGAACCACCGCAAUGAUCGUACCUCCAGUAUCACGGAUAUAUAAAAUUAGACUGUAAAGAAAUAUCAUGCAUGAAGUAAACUCCUACACUCCCCUAGCAAUUCCUCCUCCCAUACUCGUAACCGACGGCGCCACUGUCAAGACGACCCUCCUUCCUCCCACCCUAAACCACACAUAUCCGCUACCGUACUCAACUUAUUCUCAGACAAGUCGAAUAUGCGGCUAAACUUCAUAGAAAAGGAACUCCUCCUAACCACGGGUCCAUCCAGAAAAAAGUAUUUACACCAUUACCAACCCUUCUCAAAAUACUCUCUUCAAACCACCCUCCCCCCUCAACACCUACACCAUCACGAAUUUUCGCUACCUCCUGCGAGCACAAAGAACCACUCUGACCGAUAACCACCAACUUCCCUGCCUCCUCACCGUAACGAGCUACCAACAACCUAUACCACAAACCUCAUAUGUCUACUAACAACCUCCAGCACCAUUUAUCUAACAAAGAAAUGUUAAACUCUCUCAUCUGCCUAACUCAUAACCCGCCAAGCUCUUUUCGUAAACAAACAUUUUUCCAACCAAUCCAAUAAAUUUUUUAAUUAUCCUCACUCUCUCCCAAAAAAAUAAUAAUUAAAUAAAGAUUGAUUAGAAGAGAUUGUACCUCACGGAUCUUUGAAAAAGGAAAAAGUAUAGACAGAUUGGAAAGUCAUGACAUACUUAAAAAAUGUCAAUCGACCACCAAAAGAAAGAGAGCGACUCUUCCACCAAGACAGUCUAUUUUUAAUGCGCGUUAGAAUUGGACCCCAAAACAACAAUCGUCGAGGAUCACCACCAAUAUGGAGGACCAAAUACAAUAAAACCACCUAUCCCACCUUACAAUCCAAAACAGAAGCCGCCUCAGUCAGCCAAGAAUCAACAAUAUUAACCUCAACCAGCAUACUCUUAUUAAAAUUCACCUUCAACCCAGAAACUGCUUGGAAGAGAACAAGGAUCUCCCGCAAAGCACAAACAUUUGCCCAACUUUUAACACCUAAAAGUAACGUAUCAACGGCGAACUGAAGAUGGGAAUAAUAAUCGAGUUAACAAAACCAAUGUUGUACCCAGUGAAAAUGUUGGACUGAAUCAUGACUCUCAUCAUCACAUUCAAACCCUCUGCUUCCAACAAAAGGAGGAAAGGAGAAAGAUGAUCACCUUGUCAUAGACCCCUCUUCAUCGCAAACUCAUUUAUGGGGAUCUCAUUGACUAAAACGGAUAUGGUAGCCAUGCACACACAUUAUUUGAUCUAUUUCUGCCACAAAGUUUGAAAAGACAUUUUUCUCAUGACUGCAUCUAAAUACCCCCAAUUCACCGAGUCGUAAGCCUUUUCAAAAUCUACUUUAUAUAAAUAAUAGCUCCUUCUUAAAUUUACAAGUUUCAUCCACCACCUCAUUCGCAAUAAAAAUCCCAUCAAGAAUAUUUCUAUCUUUAACAAAUGUCGUCUAAGACUCAGAAAUAACACUGCCUACAAGCAACCGAAGUAUGUUUGCUAUAACCUUCCCGAAAAUUUUAUAGAGACUUCCCUCAAAAGAGAUAGAUUGAUAAUUAUUUAAAUUUUGUGGACUUUCAACUUUAGGAAUAAGAGCUAUGAAAGUAUUAUUUAUAACUUUUGUCAAUUUACCAUUCCGGUGAAACUCUGAAAUAAAACUCAUAAUGUCAUUUUCAUAUCAAUCCAAAAUUCGUUUAAAAAAUCAAAAUUAAUUCCAUCAGAACCAGUACUCUUAUAACUGUCACAAUCCCACACAACUGCUGUAACUUCUUCAGCAGAAAAAAGGCAUAUACAAACUACCGCCUUCCGCAAAAGACAAAGUCCGGAACUGAAAAAUCAUCUACCCUCGGCCGAUCCCUGUUACAUGCGCUAAACUAAGAGGAAAAGUGCGAAAAAAAACUUGGCGAAUGGGAUGCACACCCUCCACGAGACAAAGAAUGGAUGUAUGAUGUAAUACCAUGCAAUUCAACAACCUCAUCUUAUGUCAACACCUUAUCUUCCCCUUUACAAUCUAAAAUAGAUAAACUAGCCUUGAGAGACUCUAUCUUUCCUGGUAAAUUCUUGUUAUGAGAAACAUGUCACUCAUUUAGAGCCAGUUUAAUCAACUUCUUUCAGAACAAAUCCUCCCCACCUAUCGACUUGCAAGGAUUUUCAUUUACUAGUCACAAAUUGUUGAUACCCAGGAAUAUCUUGCCAACAUUUCAACAUCAUUAGGGGCGCGAGGACCCCAAUUUUCCUUAUCCACUGACAACAAAGGACAAUGAUAUGAAAAUCCCCUCAAUUGAGCCAUUUGCAAACAAUUAGGCCAAACCAAACACUAAUCCUUAAAAAGAAGAAAUCUAUCAAUCCGACUCACUGAGAGACCAUCGCCCUUAUACCAGGUAAAUUUUCAGCCACACAACGGUAAAUCGACUCACACCGAACAUCAAUAAAAUCCCCAAAAACAUACACCUUCUUCCCACCAAACAAAUGUAACGGACCCGAUAACGACUCCCAAAUCAACUGCUUUGCAUUAUUCUCGCAUGGAGCAUAAAUAUUAGACAAGUGGAACUCCUCAUUUGUUUUGAUAAACCUGUCAUGAAUCAUCAACAUAUGAUUAAAAAUGAUGGAAGAACAUACCUCCAACUCCACAGUAUCCCACAAAACUGACAAUCCCGUCGAGCCCCCCAACCGAGGGACGAAAGGAAAAAUCAUGAGGCGAGUUACCCCACAAUGAAACACAUAAAAAAUCGUCACACACAACAAGCUUAGUUUCUUGGAUACACAUAAUAAAGCGAUUCUUGUCCCUGAUCAAUUUCCUGCCUCUUCUUUAACCCACCCAACCCCCGUACAUUCCAUGAAAAAAAAUUAUUCUUCCCCAUUACCCCCUUCACGCCCCCACCAACCACACUAACAACUACCUCCCAGCGUCCCACUUCCUCUCCUAUAUUUUUCUACUUCCUCAUUCCUAUUUCCGCUCUAGACAACACACUAAACAUAUUUGCAUUAUCACCAUUAAACUUGACACAUCUUGCUUUCCUAAUACCCUAAACAUCCUCUGCAACCACUUUCUCAUUCUUAUGCAUAACCACCCAAUGUUCCCAAUACUUAUUAACAAAUGCUAAAGAAGUACAUGUAUUUGAAGAAACUUGAUUGACCAUUUCAAUUGACUUGCUGACUCUACUUCUACCACUACGUCUUCUAACAUCACUCGAACCAUACAACAACUCAGUAACAUCCCUAACCUUAGAAAAUCUCACAAACCAGUACACUUCACCAUAAAACAUUAUGCUUCCUAGCAAGAAACACAUACUCUAGAAUCCGACAUACUUCAAAUUCCUUGCUUAAAUGAAUAUGGAGAAUUUGUUCCGGAAAGUUCAUAAAAUAGAAAAUAACAAACCUUUUAAAACCACAUUUGAUAUGCACUAAUGUGGGUUUUACCUGCAAUUUUUGCAUUUAUAGUGUGAAUUUCACUAAUAUAGACUUUCUAAAACCUAAAUUUCUCAUAAAGAUAAGUGGACACACAAUUUCAUACACAAAUACAACACCAUGGAUAAAAUAGUAAUUUUGGUGUAAAUUAGACUGGUAAGUUGAUUAUUCGACCUUGUUCUUUCCUUUUCUAUACCUUUCUCCUUCUUUUCUCCCUGCAACUACAAGGUCCUGCAUUUACAACACCACACUAUUCCAACCAUCACCACCACCGUUCUCAUUAGUCACAACCACCAACGUCCUCACCGCACCCUCCAUCCUAACCACCACCAUUGUACUCGUCAAUCUCCACCACAGUCAGUAAAAAAAAAAAACAAAAGCAUGAUGUGUAUUUAAUAUUUCUCUUUUGAAAAUGAACUAGUAUAUAGAACACAUGUGUCCGCACAUGUAACUUUAUCUGUAAUAAUUGUUACAAAAUAUAUUUAUUAAAAAUACAUUUGGGAGAGUCCUCACUUAUCCAAUAUGUGACUAUUUAACUUAACAACAACAGAGGUGUGGGUUGACUGGGGUGAAGACUUAGAAAGGAACCAAAUUAUUGGUAAGGAGUUGAAAUGCUAGAGUAUUAACAAGAACAACAAAAUGCUAGAAUUUCUUAACCAAGGAGAAAUCUUAGGUUGCAUAUAUCUAGCAUGACAUCAAAAUUCAAACAUAAACUUUAAUUUUUUUUGUGGUGUUCGGGAUUCGAACCCAGAAUCUUGCAUAUAUUAUUGCAUUGUCCUUACCAACUGAGUUAAGCUUACGACGACAUUCAAACAGAAACUAAAAUGACAAACAAGUUAUUUAGACAUUUUCCUUAAAUUUGACAAGUACAUGUCACCUUAAAUUGAUCUAUUUUGAACCAAAAUGACUUUCAUAACGAGCUUUGUAGAAGGCCAAAAGGGUCUCUCUAGGAGGCAGUUUUUCCUUGACAAUUGGGUGAUUGUUGAAUUCUUGGCUCCAAUUGUAAAGCUUUGGAAAUUCUUCACUUGUGAACAAUUUCAGUCCAAAUGCUUCUUGUAUAAUAGGAAUCCAAAAAGCUAUGAGUACGGCUGCAAUGUCAACAAAGCCAAUCUCCUCCCCACCAAAGAAUUUGUCUUUGAGCUCAUUCUCAAGAAAUUGAAGAGCCUCUUUUGUUUCCUCAAUACUCUUCUCACGUUCUUUCUCAUCAAGAGUGAAACAAGCUUUCCGUACACCACUCAAACACUGCAAAAAGAAAUGUUACGCACAUAGUAGUAUAAGUUCAUUAAUUUGCUUUUUUUAUAUAAGAAGUUUUCUAUGGUAACUUUCUUUUUCUAUGGUAACUAUUAAUUUGCAAGUAUAGGGUAAGGCAUAUGCCACUCUUAAAGAGUUGUGGAUAACUUAUCUAACAAUCAUGAAAACUAAUCAUAUGAGUAGAUUUUGCAAAUGGUUUCACAAACUAAUUUUUACUAUAGUUGUAAAUUAGUUUAUGUGGCUCAUUUUCAUUGGUUAUUGAAAAAAUUAAUCACAGUUCUUCAAGAAAUAGUUUAGAAAAAACAUAUUUGUUAUUCUUACGUUAAUUAUAUUAAAAAUCAAUUUGAGAUUUAUUAAAGAACUCUUCUUCGAGAAGAGAGUGGUAAGAUCUAAUUUUAAUGAGAAGGGGACACCCUAUCCACCCAACUCACAUCUCUCCAUUAUCUUAUUUCUCGAUAAAUGAUAUUUAUACAAUCACUUUUUAACAACUUUUGGAACAACCGUCUCUUUUAUAUUCGCAUGUGUUUUUAUCCUCUCUCUCUUCUUCUCUCUCUCUAUUGUUUUUAUCCAAUAAAAAAAGAGAAAAAGUGGUUUUCAAAAAAGUUGUCUAAAAUUGAUUGUAUAAAAAUCUUUCUUCUUGUUUCUCCUCUCUCAUUGUUUUAUGCCUAGAGAGAACAUGUGGUGUGAGACUCCUCCAAGAUGUAAAAUUGGUGUUAAGUGUUUAAAUAUUACUCAUUUUAAUUUAAGAGAGAAUAAAAGAUACUUCCUCUAUCUCAUUUUAAAUGACAUACUUUAAAAAUGUGUAUUAUUCACAUAAUAUAUUUUGACAAUAUUUUUAUAUUAGGCUAAAAUAUGGUUUUAGUCCCUGCAAAUAUGGCUCGUUUUGGUUUUAGUCUCUGUAAAAAAAAAAAAUUGUUUUUGGUCCCUGCAAUUUUUUUUUGUUUUUUAAAAUAGUCCCUGGAGGGACUAUUUUAAAAAACAAAAAAAUUUUGCAGGGACCUUUUUAAAUAAAAAUAUAUUUUGCAGGGACCAAAAACUACAAAAUCGGUUUAGUCAUCAUGUGCCACGUAUACAAAUCAUCACAAAAAUGGGGUCAGAGACUAUUUUAAAAAACAAAAAAUUUUGCAGGGACCAAAAACAAUUUUUUUUUUACAGGAACUAAUACCAAAACGAGACAUAUUUACAGAGACUAAAACCAUAUUUUAGCCUUUAUAUUAAUAUACAAAGACAAAAAUUGGUGUAUAAAAUAUUGAAUUUGUCUCAACGAAUAUUUUCAAAAUCCAAUUAUCAUAAUUUUUUUAAUAUAUUAUUAAAGAUAUUUAAGAUUAAAAUUAUGCAUUUUAGAAGAAUAUGGCCCAAUCCCUGUGAGCUUAACUCAAUUGGUAGGGAUAUUGCAUGUUAUAUGUAGGGGUCGGGGUUCAAACCCCAAACACCCUAUUUCUCCACGUUUAAUUGUGUGAGCUCUAGGCAAUAGACAGCUUGACAAAAAAAAAAAAGACAUGGCCCAAAACACACCUAAGAUCUCAAAUUUAGUUACACAAAUAUUUAAUGCUAACUUAAGUUGGAUAUUUGAACUUGACUAGAGUUACACAAAGAAAAUAGAAGAGGGGAGUAAUUACCUUGUCAUCUAUGAGGUUGGACCAAAAUCGAACCAAGGCUCUUUGGUAUGGAUCAGAAGGCAAUAUUGGAUUUUGUUUCCAAGUCUCAUCAAUAUAUUCAAGAAUCACAAGUGACUCUGCUAUAGGCUUAUCAUUAUGAAUAAAAACAGGAACCUUCUUAUAAACAGGGUUGUAUUUUUUGAGUGUAUCACUCAAGUUCCCAAACUUCUCUUUCUCGUAUAUAUAUUCAACUCCCUUCAAUUUUAGAGCAAUCUCCACCCUUGUUACAAAUGGACUUUCAACCAAUCCAAAAACCUUCACCUCUUCCUUAUUUGAUGCCAUCGUAGAGCUUGAUCAAUUAUUUACUCAAACUACAGUUUUUGGAUCGUUGAUUGAUUCCUAAGAUUUACUUUUAUAUAUAGAGCAAUGAUUAAUCUGUUUGAAUAUUAGGUGCAAGGAUUAUUUUUAAACAAAAAAAAUGGUAGUCAACUAUAGAAAACUAAUAAGAUAAUACUAGAAAACUAUAAUGACUUUGAGUCUUAGAAUUUUUUAUUGGACUAUCACAACUCCAAAAAAUUAGUUUGCAACGUGAGAACUAUCUCUACUUAAUUAUAAACAUUUAUUUAAAUCAUAUCACUUUAUUAAUGAAAAUUGUCUUCAAAUUUCUUUACAUCUAUAUUUUUCAAAUGAAAGAAAUAGAGAUAAUCCUCCUCCAAAGAAACGACCCCUCAUCUAAAAUUUUCUUAAAUGAAAGUCAUGGCCUAGACAGUUCACUUUUCCUAUAUGAGAACGGGAAUGUCCAAAAAAGUGACGUAAGGGAUUACGUAACUAUAAGCAAUGAAUAUCAAGAAAUUUUUGGCCAAACACAAGUGCAAGAGUUUUUUCCUUACACGCGGUGAAUUAUGAAGAUAAAAAAACUAUAUACUAUGAUUAUGUUUAGAAAGUCUUUUUUAUUUUAAAGGAGAUUAUGUUUAGAAAGUCAUACGUUAAAAUAUACACCAUCCAGUCACUAUUAUAAGCAAAAAUCAACAUUUUAGAUUCAUUCAUUAAAUGAUGUAUAUAAUCUAUAAUAAAGAUUUACUUAAAGGACCCCUUAUAUAAUUUAACCUAUUUUGUAUUUAUCAACUAGUUUAACGGCUUCCUUAAAAAAAACUAGUUUAACCGCUUCUUUAGAAGAAAAAACUAGUUUAACCAUGUUAUAAAAUUAACAAAGUAUUAUCAAAAGUUGUAUCGUAUAGAAUAGUAGAGAGAAAGAGAAAAAGGGAGAAGAAGAAAGUAUAUUGUUUUACUUCACAAGUGUGUACUUUACAUUACAACUUGAGUCCUAUUUAUAGGAUACAAAUAGUAAGUGAAUGAUCAAAUUUAAUUAAACAUCACUAAGAAUCCACUCACUAAUGGGAGUUAUAAGAAUAUGGAAGAUCAAGGAUAUGGACAUCCACUAAUAUUCAUAACAUUUCUCAUUGGAUGUCCAUCGAGGAUAUGCCUCAUUAAAACAUUACUAGAGAAAAACCCGAUGGGAUGAGAUAUUGUCUUCAUAUGGAGUGUUAGAAAGAGUCUCCUUAUAAAACUAGAAAAUCACAAGUUUUUUGUAUGUGUGAAAUCAUAAUCCUUAACAACGAGCAUUCUCCACUUGCUAACAUUUUUAAAUGAUCGGAUGAUAGUGUUGUUUCUUUAAGAUACAAAUUGUAUUUUUGACUUUGCUGCAAUAUUUGUAUUUACUAACAUUGACAAAAAUAAAAUACCAUGAUAUAUAUAAUAUGCAAAACGCAUUAGUGUCCUUACUAUGAUAACACUAGUCUUGUGUCUCGUUUAUUCAAGGCAUGAUAUUUCCCUUAGUGUGAUUUUUUGAGUUCUAGGCUUGGAGCUAAUCCCAGCUAUGUAUGGCGAAGUAUAUUCAGUGCUAAAAUUGUGGUUAAAUAGGGUGCUAGAUGGAGGAUUGGUUCCGGUGCUAGUGUUCCUUUGUUUGGUGCUUCAUGGCUUAAAGAUGGAUGUUCCCUCUCAACACAAAGCCUUCUUUAUGAGCCACUUGCUCAUGUCAAAGUUCAAUACAUCAUCGAACCAUUGAAAAAGGUUUGGAAUGCUGCCUUAAUUUCUAAUCUGUUUGAUCAUAAUACUUCCUAGCUUAUUUUAAAUACUCAUCUCCUUCCUCUUGUUCAUGAAGAUAAAAUUAUUUGGAAGGCUGAGAAAAUGGUAGUUAUUCUGUUCAUAGUGCAUAUCAAAUUUGUGUUACAAAAAUUGCAGAUAACUCUCAUUUGCAUGUUUCGGGUAAGUGGAGUUCGAUUUGGAAGCUUAAGGUCCCUCCCAAGAUUCAAAACUUUGUUUGGCGUGUGUGUCGGGGUUGUUUCGCUACACGUGCACGCCUAAGUAGUUGUGGUAUUCAUUGUCCUAAUGAUUGUGUGGAACUAAUUAUGAAGAUAUCAUUCAUGUCUUAUUAGAAUGUUCAGGUGCGAUGCAAGUGUGACGGGAGGUUAACUUAUCGGAUAUUAUUGAUAGAACUUUACGUCAAAAUUAUAACAUGAAUUCUUUGAUCUUUUCUCUUCUUGACCAACUGCCGUUUGCGCAAAAAGAAUUGUUUGUGAUGAUCAUGUGGAGCUUGUGGAAGCGUAGGAAUUUAAAAUUAUGGCAACAACAAAAUGAAACGCGUAUGCAUGUUGUUGAACGAGCCCGCCACCUCUUAGAUGAUUGGAGAACCGCCCAAGAAGUCAGAUCGCACAAAGCGACUGGCAUCCCUGCACAACCGAACAUUGUUAUUCAUGGUCCUGUCAUCGAGUGGACGAAGCCGACAUAUGGUAGGUACUAAUAUAAUAUUGAUGCCUCCUUUUCUAACUCUCUAAAUAUGGUAGGUAUUGGCAUAUGUAUUUGUGAUGUUCAUGGUGAGUUUGUCAUGGCUAAGAUAGACUGUUUCUCUCCUCUUUGUGAUGUUGAUGUCGGCGAGGUUGUUGGACUUCACAUGGCGUUACAAUGGGUGGCUGAUCUUCAUUAUGACCAUGUUAAUUUUGUUUUGGAUUCCAAGUCUGUUGUUGUACACUUUAAUUCAAACCUAGGUGAUAGUAGUGAACUAGGUUGUAUCAUUCAGGUUUGUAGGCAGUUGUUUGAUUGUAAUUUUCAGAACUCUCAUAUCGAGUUCAAUAGGAGGCAAGCCAAUGGGGUCGCUCAUGAAUUAGAUAGGGUAGAUCCAUCUCAUGCUAGCUCCCACAUUUAUGAUGAUGUACCGUCAUAUAUCCGAGACUUGAUAGUUAAUGAAAAGCAAUGAUUUCUUCCAAAAAAAAAAGGUAUAUUCGGUCAGAAAAAGAGCAAAAUAUAAGACAUCAUACCCUCUCAUUAUACUUCCAUGAGGGAUAAUCCCCAUGGAAAUUUUAUUACAAACUGAAAUCCAAGGCUCAAUAUAUCUAAUUUGACAUGAAAAAUCAAACAUAAACAACUAAAUGACAAACAAGUAGUUUAAACAUAUCUCUUUAAAUCUCCCCAAAACAUAUGACUAAAAUUAAUCUAUUUUGAAGCAACAAGACUUUCAUAACGAGCUUUGAAGAAGGCCAAAAGUCCUUCUCUACGAGGCAAGUUUUCCUUGACAAUUGGGUGGUUGUUGAAGUCUUGACUCCAAUUGUAAAGCUUAGGAAAUUUCUCACUUGUGAACAACUUCAAUCCUGUUACUUCUUGUACAAUAGGGAACCAAAAAGCUAUGAAGACCGCAGUAAUGUCAAUAAGUCCAAUAUCAUCUCCACCAAAGAACUUGUCCUUGAGCUCAUUCUCAAGAAAUUGAAAAGCGUCUUCUGUUUCCUCAAAACUCUUCUCACGUUCCUUCUCAUCAAGAGUGAAAGCAGUUUUCCAUGCAGGAAUCAUACACUGGUCUCACAAAUUAAGGUCAUUAUAAAAAUUAGGCAUGUAAAAUAAAAGUAAGAAAAAAGAAUAAAUGUUAUGUUCUGUUGAAAUUUGGGGCCGCCUAACUCAUCCUUACAAAACCGGCUUGUAAGGUGAUGAUUGUCUUCUCUUUAUAUAUGAGACUUGAGUUUUUUCCAAUACACCCCCUCACGCCCAUCACUCUUUGGGCUUGGUGCGUGAAUAGGUAGGUAACCCUUGAAUUCGACAAACUCUAAUACCAUGUCAAAAUUUGGGGUAAGAGUCUCAUCUAUCCUAUGUGGGACUUGGGUUUUUCCCAAUACACCUCCCUCACGCCCAGCACUCUUUGAGCUUGGUGCAUGAAUAGGUAGGUGACCCUUGAAUUUGACAAGCUAUUAUACCAUGUUGAAAUUUGGGGCCUAACUCAUCCUUACAAAACCAACUUGUAAGGUAAGAAUUGCCUCCUCUUUAUAAACUGUCAUCAAAAGUCUUAUUUAUCCGAUGUGAAACUUGGGUUUUUCCCAAUAUGUUUCUUGAGUUGGUAGAAUAAGAAAAUAAACACCAAUUGAACACCAAUUUCUUACGUUGUGAGAGUAUUGCACCUUCCAUUAGCCAGAACAUUUGUAGAUAUGUUAAAUUGUUAUGUUAUUCGUUCAAAUUAUGUUCCUUAAGUUGGUAGAACUCAAAUUAUGUUCAACUUAAGAGCGUACUCGUUCUUCAACAAGAUAGUAGUAAGAAUUUUUUAAGGGUGUGUAAAAGAUGAAUGUAAAGUGAGAGAAAAAAUAAUAAAUCCUUAGAUAUUGGUUCAAAUGUGCUGUUUGUAAUAUUGGUCUCGUGAAAAUUAUAAACUAUAAAAUAACUUACUUUUAAUUUGUUUUUAAUCAAAUUACAUCAUAAGUCAUUUAAGUUAUUUAAUAGUAAUCAAUUAGUUUAGAGUUUUUUUUCGUACCACUUAUAUCAUUUAAGUUAUUUUCCUUCAAACAAAAUCAUUUAAGUUAUUUAAUUGUAACAAAUUAGUUCUUUAAAUAUUUUUCGUAACGCUUAAUUCUUUUAUGUUAUUUAAUUGUAAUUUUUAAGCUCCAAAUAACUUAAAUAACCUAAUUGAUAAAAAAAUAAAAAAACUUGAAGAUUUAACUUGUUAAAAUUAACUAAUAUAAAUGACCUCCUUCAAAUAAAAACAAAGAUAAAAGAUCUAAGUGGUACGAUAAAAAUUGAAAGAACCAAUUUAUUAUAAUUAAAUAACUUAAAAAUUCUCUAGUGUAAUUUAAUCUUUUUUAGUUUUAGUAUAGUUUUGUUCCAAUCGAGUUGAUCAGAUUUUAGAUGUCUCCUUAAGAGGAGCCUUGGACUUCCACAAAUUUACAAUGUUGCUGAAGUCUAUCCCCUGCACUAGACCCAUAUUGGUUAAGAUAGCUUAUUCAUACACCUCAUACUCUUGGUUCGAUUAAGCAAAUCUUAUAAACUAAUUAAAUAAAUUGUAAGUUAUAUAAAAACUAUAAUUAUAACAAUAUUUUAAAUUUUAAGAAAUAUACUUAAAUUAAGAUAAAAUUUUAUCUACAUAAAUGUUUAGUAUCAUAGUGAGUAUGAUAGAAUCACAAUAACCCACAAGAAUUUUUUAAAAGUUAAACUUUGUAGUUUCUAUAAAAUCACAGUGGAUUAUCGUAAUUCUGACAUAUCUUUCGUGAUACUAAAGACGCACAAAGAUUUUUAAACUAUCAAAAUUUUAUUUUUUUAAGAAUAAGCAAUCAAAAUUAUUGUGUUAAUUAAUUAAAGUAAAAUAAAUGGACUUGACAUAAAAAAUUAACUUACUCAAAGAUUUCAUCCUAAUUAAAGUUGGAUAUAAAUCACUAAAAAAAGAGAUGAUUGAAAUUACCUUAUCAUCUAUAAACUUGGACCAGAAACGUGCCAAGGCUCUUUUAUAAGGAUCAGAAGGCAAGAUUGGAUUUUGUUUCCAAGUCUCAUCAAUAUAUUCAAUAAUCACAAGAGAUUCUG
RNAcentral lists this long non-coding RNA (26350 nucleotides) under Medicago truncatula (barrel medic). Its description in RNAcentral is "long non-coding RNA (MTRU_LNC005202)". The stretch from base 461 to 575 matches the Rfam family "MIR2593 microRNA precursor family". The record is from RNAcentral. Lineage: Eukaryota; Viridiplantae; Streptophyta; Magnoliopsida; Fabales; Fabaceae.